GACGAACGCUGGCGGCGUGCUUAACACAUGCAAGUCGAACGGAAAGGCCCUGCUUUUGUUGGUUUCUCGAUCGGCGAACGGGUGAGUAACACGUGAGUAACCUGCCCUUGACUUUGGGAUAACUUCUGGAAACUGGGGCUAAUACCUGAUAGGAUCUCCUGCUGCAUGGUGGGGGUUGGAAAGUUUCGGCUGUUGGGGAUGGACUCGCGGCUUAUCAGCUUGUUUGUGGGGUAGUGGCUUACCAAGGCUUUGACGGGUAGCCGGCCUGAGAGGGUGACCGGCCACCUUGGGCCUGAGAUACGGCGCAGAAUCGUACGGGCGGCAGCAGUCGGGAAUAUUGCACAAUGGGCGGAAGCCUGAUGCAGCAACGCCGCGUGCGGGAUGACGGCCUUCGGGUUGUAAACAGAUUUCGAAUGUGACGAAGAGUGAGUGACGGUAAUGGGUAAAGAAGCCCCGGCUAACUACGUG
This 468-nucleotide ribosomal RNA is filed under the name uncultured bacterium. RNAcentral's name for it is "partial 16S ribosomal RNA". It matches the Rfam family "Bacterial small subunit ribosomal RNA", at positions 28 to 507 of the family's 1533-position model. The record is from RNAcentral.